AGCCAGUGAUGACAAGCUAAACAAACUUUUCUGACACCUACUAUGAGAGCUCAGUUUGCAGCUCCUGAUUCUAACUUUGUUCUGAGGCUG
This is a small nucleolar RNA of Fundulus heteroclitus (mummichog), 90 nucleotides long. The record is from Ensembl. Lineage: Eukaryota; Metazoa; Chordata; Actinopteri; Cyprinodontiformes; Fundulidae.